RNAcentral lists this ribosomal RNA (425 nucleotides) under uncultured bacterium. RNAcentral's name for it is "partial 16S ribosomal RNA". It matches the Rfam family "Bacterial small subunit ribosomal RNA", at positions 354 to 796 of the family's 1533-position model. The record is from RNAcentral.
GUGGGGAAUAUUGGACAAUGGGCGAAAGCCUGAUCCAGCCAUGCCGCGUGAGUGAUGAAGGCCUUAGGGUUGUAAAGCUCUUUCAGUAGGGAAGAUAAUGACGGUACCUACAGAAGAAGCCCCGGCUAACUUCGUGCCAGCAGCCGCGGUAAUACGAAGGGGGCUAGCGUUGUUCGGAUUUACUGGGCGUAAAGCGCACGUAGGCGGAUUGGUCAGUUAGAGGUGACAUCCUGGAGCUCAACUCCAGAACUGCCUUUAAUACUGCCAGUCUAGAGUCCAGAAGAGGUGAGUGGAACUCCUAGUGUAGAGGUGGAAUUCGUAGAUAUUCGGAAGAACACCAGUGGCGAAGGCGACUCACUGGCCCAAUACUGACGCUGAGGCGCGAAAGCGUGGGGAGCAAACAGGAUUAGAAACCCUUGUAGUCC